CUUUCCUCACGUGAUAUACACAAGCUAAUUUUUUAAGGGCGAUAAAAUAUUAUGCUUAAUACCCAAUCCAUUCUUUUAAAUCUAUUUUUCUUUUUUCUUUUUAAUUUCAAAAUUUGGAAGGAACCUUGAAGAAAGUAGAAGACGGCUUUGCAUCUGCCACAGGGUAAACCACUGCCUCUCAGGCCCCUCUACUGAUUCUACCAUAGAGGUCGACGAUAGACAAUAACUCUCCCCCGAACACAGUUUACAACUUUCAUCGUACUGUACUUUCCAAAGAGCAACUCUUCUCAAAAUCCAUGUCAUUUCCAGCACACCAACUGACUAUACUCACCAAGGCGCUUCUCUUCAUGGUCUCUUCUUCUCCAAAUGGGACUGUCACCUUAGAAAUGAAAAAACUCCGACCAACCAUCUCCCAAACCGUCUAACCUCCAUACCGCUGAACCAUCUGUUGAUGUUUUAAGACCAUGAAAAGAAGCGUCCUGAUGAGUAUAGUUGAUUCGUAUGUUGGAAAUGACUUGGAUCCCUUCGGAACAGGUGGUGUCGCCGGAGUUUUGGUGAUGGUAUUUUGGAAAUGGUAUGGAGGUUUAAUCGGUUUGACAAUGGUUUCAAUUUUAAUAAGGCCUAAUAGUACAAAAUGUCCCUACGUUUGACACCUCUUACAGAAAAUGUCCCUACCUUUGACACUUCUUGUGGAGAACGUUCAUAUGUUUCAGUGUUUUUUUUUUUUUUUUUUUUUUUUUUUUUUUCAAUUUGAAACGUAAGGACGUUUUGCACACUACAGGCCAAAUGUAGGGACGUUUUGUGCUAUUAGACAUUUUAAUAAUUAUUUGGACUCACUUGCACUUUUUAAAACAUUUAGGAGUAAGAUUGCAAUUUAUUAUUUAUUUUUCCUUUCUUUUUUUGGUAUUAUUUAAAUAUGAG
This 921-nucleotide long non-coding RNA is filed under the name Olea europaea subsp. europaea. The record is from RNAcentral. Lineage: Eukaryota; Viridiplantae; Streptophyta; Magnoliopsida; Lamiales; Oleaceae.